GACGAACGCUGGCGGCGUGCUUAACACAUGCAAGUCGAACGGAAAGGCCCUGCUUUUGUGGGGUUCUCGAGUGGCGAACGGGUGAGUAACACGUGAGUAACCUGCCCUUGACUUUGGGAGAACUUCAGGAAACUGGGGCUAAUACCGGAUAUGAGCUCCUGCUGCAUGGUGGGGGUUUGAAAGUUUCGGCGGUUGGGGAUGGACUCGCGGCUUAUCGGCUUGUUGGUGGGGUAGUGGCUUACCAAGGCUUUGACGGGUAGCCGGCCUGAGAGGGUGACCGGCCACAUUGGGACUGAGAUACGGGCCAGACUGCUACGGGAGGCAGCAGUGGGGAAUAUUGCACAAUGGGCGGAAGCCUGAUGCAGCAACGCCGCGUGCGGGAUGACGGCUUUCGGGUUGUAAACCGCUUUCGCCUGUGACGAAGCGUGAGUGACGGUAAUGGGUAAAGAAGCACCGGCUAACUACGUG
This 468-nucleotide ribosomal RNA is filed under the name uncultured bacterium. RNAcentral describes it as "partial 16S ribosomal RNA". It matches the Rfam family "Bacterial small subunit ribosomal RNA", at positions 28 to 507 of the family's 1533-position model. The record is from RNAcentral.